RNAcentral lists this non-coding RNA (131 nucleotides) under Salegentibacter echinorum. Lineage: Bacteria; Pseudomonadati; Bacteroidota; Flavobacteriia; Flavobacteriales; Flavobacteriaceae. The record is from RNAcentral.
UUUAGUAACCAAGCUUAAUAUUUUGGUUUCCAGAUAGAAAACAAGGGGAAUCACGUGAAAAUCGUGAGCUGUUGCGCAACUGUAAGUAUGUAAAUACAAGCCAGGCUACCUUUCUUUAUUGAUAGACUUUU